Molecule: ribosomal RNA, 382 nt
Filed under: uncultured bacterium
Lineage: Bacteria
Description: bacterial SSU rRNA
Rfam family: Bacterial small subunit ribosomal RNA
Source: RNAcentral
UACAGAGGGUGCAAGCGUUAAUCGGAUUUACUGGGCGUAAAGGGCGCGUAGGCGGUGAUGUGAGUGUGAUGUGAAAGCCCCGGGCUUAACCUGGGAAGUGCAUCGCAAACGACAUGACUGGAGUAUAUGAGAGGGUGGCGGAAUUUCCGGUGUAGCGGUGAAAUGCGUAGAGAUCGGAAGGAACGUCAAUGGCGAAGGCAGCCACCUGGCAUAAUACUGACGCUGAGGCGCGAAAGCGUGGGGAGCGAACAGGAUUAGAUACCCUGGUAGUCCACGCUGUAAACGAUGAGAACUAAAUGUUGGAGGGGGAACCCUUCAGUAUUGAAGCUAACGCGAUAAGUUCUCCGCCUGGGAAGUACAGUCGCAAGACUGAAACUCAAAA